CACGAAUUGAGCUCGGCCUGCUGGAGAGCGGCCCAUAGCUACCAACUACUGCAACCUUCCCACGCCCCGACCAGAGACAGGGAAAGCCGGUUGAACAUGGAAGCAGUGUUCUAGCAGUCGCAUCACAUUGGAACAGAGUCCAUCCUCACGUGUUUGUAGGAGCUGAAGAAGAGGAUGGAGCACACAGACCGACAAGGAGGAGAGACAUGGCUCCUCUAUUUCUCCUUCCAACGUUCUGGAGUAAAAAAACAUUGACGACCCCACAGCUAAACCAUCAGUCUGCUACACCCAGUAGAAGAAGAUGAGGUCAUCUGCUCCUUGGACCGGCGCCUCUGUGUCUGUUGGACGUCUUCUGUCCUGAUAAAGACCCGCUCAGCUGCAGUAGAUGGGCACUGACAUGGAGCUGCUGGAGGUUCCUUCCUGUUUGAAGCUAGUUUUCCUCUCUACUGUCACCACUUCAUUGCUCAGGAGGGACUGCUGCAAAAUUAACGACUGGAUGUGAUUGGCUGAGCUUCCUUGGAUUGAAGACGUUUCUCUGAAUGCCAUGAUAAACUCAAUUUAUCUUCACCAUGUUGUAAAUAGGAUCUAAUUGGAUGUUUGUGUUUACAGUAGAUGUGAUUCUGUGUUUGUGUUGACUUCUGUUACAUGUUCCCGUAUUAAAAUCGUCACGUUCAUUGCCUUUAGAUGACAUUUGCUGGGACUUGUUUCUAUUUUAAGACUGAUUUAUAUUAAAUCCCCUCACUGGGUCUGGUUCUGUUGAAGUAUGCUUCCUGUCGUUCUAUCUUCACCUGUUAUUUCUCACUAUAAUAAAGGUUUGAUUGCAGUAAUGUGAACAGGAUCUGUUUGUAUUUUCUGGUAAAGUAUCUUGAAAUAAGUUUUUGUAAAUUGGUUCUUUAUAAAUAAACCAAACUGAAGUCAA
Cyprinodon tularosa is the source of this 919-nucleotide long non-coding RNA. RefSeq lists it as uncharacterized. NCBI's taxonomy places the organism in Eukaryota, Metazoa, Chordata, Actinopteri, Cyprinodontiformes, Cyprinodontidae. The transcript has 4 exons. The record is from RefSeq and is a predicted model, not a curated record.